UACGGAGGGUGCGAGCGUUGUCCGGAAUCAUUGGGCGUAAAGGGCGCGUAGGUGGCCCGGUCAGUUCGUGGUGAAAGCGCGGGGCUCAACCCUGCGUCGGCCAUGAAUACUGCCGCGGCUGGAGCACUGUAGAGGCAGGCGGAAUUCCGGGUGUAGCGGUGGAAUGCGUAGAGAUCCGGAAGAACACCGGUGGCGAAGGCGGUCUGCUGGGCAGUUGCUGACACUGAGGCGCGACAGCGUGGGGAGCAAACAGG
Molecule: ribosomal RNA, 254 nt
Filed under: uncultured bacterium
Lineage: Bacteria
Description: partial 16S ribosomal RNA
Rfam family: Bacterial small subunit ribosomal RNA
Source: RNAcentral